Acanthosepion pharaonis is the source of this 104-nucleotide non-coding RNA. NCBI's taxonomy places the organism in Eukaryota, Metazoa, Mollusca, Cephalopoda, Sepiida, Sepiidae. The record is from the annotation of a GenBank genome assembly.
GGUUAAAACAUACUGAAAACAGUAGUUCUCAUUCAAUCACCAAAGUUAAGCAUCAUUGAGCCCAGUCAGUAGUUAAAUGGGUGAUCACUUGGGAACACCAGGUA